UACGUAGGCAGCAAGCGUUGUUCGGAGUUACUGGGCGUAAAGGGCUCGUAGGCGGCCAACUAAGUCGGAUGUGAAAUCCCCAGGCUUAACCUGGGAACUGCAUCCGAUACUGGAUGGCUUGAAUCCGGGAGAGGGAUGCAGAAUUCCAGGUGUAGCGGUGAAAUGCGUAGAUAUCUGGAGGAAUACCGGUGGCGAAGGCGGCAUCCUGGACCGGCAUUGACGCUGAUGAGCGAAAGCUAGGGGAGCAAACGGG
RNAcentral lists this ribosomal RNA (253 nucleotides) under uncultured bacterium. Its description in RNAcentral is "partial 16S ribosomal RNA". It matches the Rfam family "Bacterial small subunit ribosomal RNA", at positions 524 to 776 of the family's 1533-position model. The record is from RNAcentral.